GACGAACGCUGGCGGCGUGCUUAACACAUGCAAGUCGAACGGUGAACCUCUUCGUAGGGGCUCAGUGGCGAACGGGUGCGUAACACGUGGGCAACCUGCCCCCGGCUCUGGGAUAACUCCAAGAAAUUGGGGCUAAUACCAGAUGUUCACCGCUUCCCGCAUGGGUGGUGGUGGAAAGGGUUUCCGGCUUGGGAUGGGCCCGCGGCCUAUCAGCUUGGUGGUGGGGUAGUGGCCUACCAAGGCGACGACGGGUAGCCGGCCUGAGACGGUGACGGGCCACACAGGGCCUGAGGAGGGGGCCGGACUCAAACGGGAGGCAGCAGUGGGGAAUAUUGCGCGAAGGGCGGAAGCCUGACGCAGCGACGCCGCGUGGGGGAUGACGGCUUUCGGGUUGUAAACCUCUUUCAGCAGGGACGAAGCGCAAGUGACGGUACCUGAAGAAGAAGCACCGGCCAACUACGUG
RNAcentral lists this ribosomal RNA (463 nucleotides) under uncultured bacterium. RNAcentral's name for it is "partial 16S ribosomal RNA". It matches the Rfam family "Bacterial small subunit ribosomal RNA", at positions 28 to 507 of the family's 1533-position model. The record is from RNAcentral.